GUGGGAGGGGGCUUGCUCCCGAUUGCAGUGUGUCAGCCAGCCUAUGUUUAGCUGGCACACCGCAAUCGGGAGCAAGCCCCCUCCCAC
This 87-nucleotide unclassified non-coding RNA is filed under the name Pseudomonas synxantha. Lineage: Bacteria; Pseudomonadati; Pseudomonadota; Gammaproteobacteria; Pseudomonadales; Pseudomonadaceae. The record is from RNAcentral.